UCUUAAAUAUCAUUUACCUUGAUCAUAGGUACAUUCCAUGUUUUGUUGUAGAUGUUCAUUGCUAUUGUAAUGUUUGAUGAUGCACAAACUUCCUGAAUCUUUUCUUCUUCUACAAAUAUAGACAAUAUAGUAUAGCUAUUAUAUAAUUUAUACUUUCUUUAUUAUUAUAUAGAACCAUUCUUAAAUAUCAUUUACCUUUAUCAUAUGUACAUUCCAUGUUUUGUUGUAGAUGUUCAUUGCUAUUGUAAUGUUUGAUGAUGCACAAACUUCCUGAAUCUUUUUUUUCCUACAAAUAUUUAGCCUUUUCAUCUGAUACAAAAUUGCAUUUUGGACCUUCAUUUGGCUACGAC
Molecule: long non-coding RNA, 350 nt
Filed under: Zostera marina
Lineage: Eukaryota; Viridiplantae; Streptophyta; Magnoliopsida; Alismatales; Zosteraceae
Description: long non-coding RNA (ZMAR_LNC005425)
Source: RNAcentral